AUGAACGCUGGCGGCGUGCUUAACACAUGCAAGUCGAACGGGAAUUACAUUUUAGCUUGCUAAGUUGUAAUUCUAGUGGCGGACGGGUGAGUAACGCGUGGGUAACCUGCCUUAUACCGGGGGACAACAGUUGGAAACGACUGCUAAUACCGCAUAAGCGCACGAUGAGGCAUCUCAUUGUGUGAAAAACUCCGGUGGUAUAAGAUGGACCCGCGUCUGAUUAGCCAGUUGGCGGUGUAACGGACCACCAAAGCGACGAUCAGUAGCCGGCCUGAGAGGGCAAACGGCCACAUUGGGACUGAGACACGGCCCAAACUCCUACGGGAGRCRGCAGUGGGGAAUAUUGCACAAUGGAGGAAACUCUGAUGWASSUCACAGCGUGAGUGAAGAAGUAUUUCGGUAUGUAAAGCUCUAUCAGCAGGAAAGAAAAUGACGUA
Molecule: ribosomal RNA, 437 nt
Filed under: bacterium FE2006
Lineage: Bacteria
Description: bacterial SSU rRNA
Rfam family: Bacterial small subunit ribosomal RNA
Source: RNAcentral